Molecule: ribosomal RNA, 460 nt
Filed under: Acidovorax sp. IGS134
Lineage: Bacteria; Pseudomonadati; Pseudomonadota; Betaproteobacteria; Burkholderiales; Comamonadaceae
Description: bacterial SSU rRNA
Rfam family: Bacterial small subunit ribosomal RNA
Source: RNAcentral
GCUCAGAUUGAACGCUGGCGGCAUGCCUUACACAUGCAAGUCGAACGGUAACAGGUCUUCGGAUGCUGACGAGUGGCGAACGGGUGAGUAAUACAUCGGAACGUGCCCGAUCGUGGGGGAUAACGGAGCGAAAGCUUUGCUAAUACCGCAUACGAUCUACGGAUGAAAGCAGGGGACCGCAAGGCCUUGCGCGGACGGAGCGGCCGAUGGCAGAUUAGGUAGUUGGUGGGAUAAAAGCUUACCAAGCCGACGAUCUGUAGCUGGUCUGAGAGGACGACCAGCCACACUGGGACUGAGACACGGCCCAGACUCCUACGGGAGGCAGCAGUGGGGAAUUUUGGACAAUGGGCGAAAGCCUGAUCCAGCCAUGCCGCGUGCAGGAUGAAGGCCUUCGGGUUGUAAACUGCUUUUGUACGGAACGAAAAGACUCCUUCUAAUAAAGGGGGUCCAUGACGGUACC